UGCAGUCGAGCGGUAGAGAGGUGCUUGCACCUCUUGAGAGCGGCGGACGGGUGAGUAAAGCCUAGGAAUCUGCCUGGUAGUGGGGGAUAACGCUCGGAAACGGACGCUAAUACCGCAUACGUCCUACGGGAGAAAGCAGGGGACCUUCGGGCCUUGCGCUAUCAGAUGAGCCUAGGUCGGAUUAGCUAGUUGGUGAGGUAAUGGCUCACCAAGGCGACGAUCCGUAACUGGUCUGAGAGGAUGAUCAGUCACACUGGAACUGAGACACGGUCCAGACUCCUACGGGAGGCAGCAGUGGGGAAUAUUGGACAAUGGGCGAAAGCCUGAUCCAGCCAUGCCGCGUGUGUGAAGAAGGUCUUCGGAUUGUAAAGCACUUUAAGUUGGGAGGAAGGGCAUUAACCUAAUACGUUAGUGUUUUGACGUUACCGACAGAAUAAGCACCGGCUAACUCUGUGCCAGCAGCCGCGGUAAUACAGAGGGUGCAAGCGUUAAUCGGAAUUACUGGGCGUAAAGCGCGCGUAGGUGGUUCGUUAAGUUGGAUGUGAAAUCCCCCGGGCUCAACCUGGGAACUGCAUUCAAAACUGUCGAGC
Molecule: ribosomal RNA, 590 nt
Filed under: uncultured bacterium
Lineage: Bacteria
Description: bacterial SSU rRNA
Rfam family: Bacterial small subunit ribosomal RNA
Source: RNAcentral